Molecule: long non-coding RNA, 221 nt
Organism: Lingula anatina
Lineage: Eukaryota; Metazoa; Brachiopoda; Lingulata; Lingulida; Lingulidae
Source: RefSeq, a predicted model, not a curated record
GGAAUACAGAGAAAUGAUAGAGCAACUCCAGGUGUCCUUAAACUCUGCCCAAGACGAGGUCCAACAACUGUGUCAAGAAAAAUCCCAGUGGAUAAAAUCACCUACGGAAGAGAACCUGAGAAUUCAGUCUUCUGAAUCAGAAAAAGAACUUGGAGACAGUAGAAGAAACGUGCCAACAGUGUCAAAAAUUGUGGUAUCCCAACACUACAGUGACGAAGAUG